AACGAACGCUGGCGGCAUGCCUAACACAUGCAAGUCGAACGAGACCUUCGGGUCUAGUGGCGCACGGGUGCGUAACGCGUGGGAACCUGCCCUUAGGUUCGGAAUAACUCCCCGAAAGGGGUGCUAAUACCGGAUAAUGUCUUCGGACCAAAGAUUUAUCGCCUUUGGAUGGGCCCGCGUUGGAUUAGCUAGUUGGUAGGGUAAAAGCCUACCAAGGCGACGAUCCAUAGCUGGUCUGAGAGGAUGAUCAGCCACACUGGGACUGAGACACGGCCCAGAAUCCUACGGGAGGCAGCAGUGGGGAAUAUUGGACAAUGGGCGAAAGCAUGAACCAGCAAUGCCGCGUGAGUGAUGAAGGCCUUAGGGUUGUAAAGCUCUUUUACCCGGGAUGAUAAUGACAGUACCGGGAGAAUAAGCUCCGGCUAACUACGUG
RNAcentral lists this ribosomal RNA (433 nucleotides) under uncultured bacterium. RNAcentral describes it as "partial 16S ribosomal RNA". It matches the Rfam family "Bacterial small subunit ribosomal RNA", at positions 29 to 507 of the family's 1533-position model. The record is from RNAcentral.